UACGGAGGGAGCUAGCGUUGUUCGGAGUUACUGGGCGUAAAGAGUGCGUAGGCGGUUUUCUAAGUUUGGUGUGAAAUCUCCCGGCUUAACUGGGAGGGUGCGCCGAAAACUGGAAGGCUUGAGUAUGGGAGAGGUAAGCGGAAUUCCUGGUGUAGCGGUGAAAUGCGUAGAUAUCAGGAGGAACACCUGCGGUGUAGACGGCUUACUGGACCAUAACUGACGCUGAGGCACGAAAGCGUGGGUAGCAAACAGG
Molecule: ribosomal RNA, 253 nt
Filed under: uncultured bacterium
Lineage: Bacteria
Description: partial 16S ribosomal RNA
Rfam family: Bacterial small subunit ribosomal RNA
Source: RNAcentral